RNAcentral lists this ribosomal RNA (470 nucleotides) under uncultured organism. RNAcentral's name for it is "partial 16S ribosomal RNA". It matches the Rfam family "Bacterial small subunit ribosomal RNA", at positions 334 to 796 of the family's 1533-position model. The record is from RNAcentral.
CACUCCUACGGGAGGCAGCAGUGGGGAAUUUUGGACAAUGGGCGAAAGCCUGAUCCAGCAAUGCCGCGUGCAGGAUGAAGGCCUUCGGGUUGUAAACUGCUUUUGUACGGAACGAAAAAGCUCCUUCUAAUACAGGGGGCCCAUGACGGUACCGUAAGAAUAAGCACCGGCUAACUACGUGCCAGCAGCCGCGGUAAUACGUAGGGUGCGAGCGUUAAUCGGAAUUACUGGGCGUAAAGCGUGCGCAGGCGGUUAUGUAAGACAGAUGUGAAAUCCCCGGGCUCAACCUGGGAACUGCAUUUGUGACUGCAUGGCUAGAGGACGGUAGAGGGGGAUGGAAUUCCGCGUGUAGCAGUGAAAUGCGUAGAUAUGCGGAGGAACACCGAUGGCGAAGGCAAUCCCCUGGACCUGUACUGACGCUCAUGCACGAAAGCGUGGGGAGCAAACAGGAUUAGAAACCCUUGUAGUCC